CCCUCCAUUGCUGUCCUUGAUGAUAUUUGACACCAUAACCACUCUCAGAGAUGCAGAACUAAUUGCCAGAAGGAUGAAAAACUAUCUCCCUCAAAUCACAAGGGGAACAAGUAGAAGAAAAGGAAAAGCAUAAAGCCACAGUACUCUAAAACCCAUAGUUUCUACUACGAGUGGGUGGGAAGAGGUAUUAUUACUUUUUUAGCUCAAGGAAGAACUUUUUGCUUUCUUUGGGGAGGGGGAAUGGAACUCAGGACUUUGCACUUUCCAGGCAGGUGCAGUGCUACAUCCCCAGCCCCAAGGAAGAACUUUGUUAUAGUCAGCCAUGCCCAAGAAUAAUAUGAUUUGCCUUGGAGAGGUCAACCUGGAUGAAUCUAUUCACCACUGAAAGAAAGGGGCUAAAGUCAACAGCAAAGAAACCUGGCAUCUACCUUGGUCUCUAACUCCCUAGAGAUGUGCUUAGGCCACAGAGCCACUGUGAGAUCCCAGCCAAAUGACUUUGCCAAGAUAUCCUUAUCACAGUCGAUACUUUUGCUCUUCGAUGCUGAAGACAUAAAACACACACAGGGAGUACAAAUACAAAGAGAUGAAGCCAAAACAAACAAAUAAAUAUGAGGACACAAGAAGGAAAAUCGAGAACAUACCAUGUGCUAUAAAACAAUUGGUCUGCAAAAAGCCCAUUUCAGAGAGUAGGAAAAGUUGCUGGGUUUCUAAAAUUAGAGACUAAAGGGACAUAAUAACCAAAUGAAGGGGCCCCUCACCUGCCUUGCAAGCGCAAGGUCCGGCGUUCGAUCCCAGAUACCAAAAAAAAAGAAAUGCCUGAAACAUUUUCUUCAUCUGAAAAAAGUAAAAG
Molecule: long non-coding RNA, 850 nt
Filed under: Fukomys damarensis (Damara mole-rat)
Lineage: Eukaryota; Metazoa; Chordata; Mammalia; Rodentia; Bathyergidae
Description: lncRNA (ENSFDAG00000030552.1)
Source: RNAcentral